CUGAAGGGACAGUAGUGCCAGCCAUGCUCCAGGGUUGCUGAGGGGAUGGUAGACUGGUGACGUGCACUUCAUUUAUGAUGUAGGUCACCUGUUUCACUAUCCAUCGGCACCCAGUCCAUCUG
Molecule: microRNA precursor, 122 nt
Filed under: Chinchilla lanigera (long-tailed chinchilla)
Lineage: Eukaryota; Metazoa; Chordata; Mammalia; Rodentia; Chinchillidae
Description: miRNA (ENSCLAG00000021109.1)
Rfam family: mir-1193 microRNA precursor family (bases 32-112)
Source: RNAcentral